CAUCAUGAUUUACAUUUGAGUGAGUGGCGAACUGGUGAGUAACACGUGGGAAACCUGCCCAGAAGCGGGGGAUAACACCUGGAAACAGAUGCUAAUACCGCAUAACAACUUGGACCGCAUGGUCCGAGCUUGAAAGAUGGCUUCGGCUAUCACUUUUGGAUGGUCCCGCGGCGUAUUAGCUAGAUGGUGGGGUAACGGCUCACCAUGGCAAUGAUACGUAGCCGACCUGAGAGGGUAAUCGGCCACAUUGGGACUGAGACACGGCCCAAACUCCUACGGGAGGCAGCAGUAGGGAAUCUUCCACAAUGGACGAAAGUCUGAUGGAGCAACGCCGCGUGAGUGAAGAAGGGUUUCGGCUCGUAAAACUCUGUUGUUAAAGAAGAACAUAUCUGAGAGUAACUGUUCAGGUAUUGACGGUAUUUAACCAGAAAGCCACGGCUAACUACGUGCCAGCAGCCGCGGUAAUACGUAGGUGGCAAGCGUUGUCCGGAUUUAUUGGGCGUAAAGCGAGCGCAGGCGGUUUUUUAAGUCUGAUGUGAAAGCCUUCGGCUCAACCGAAGAAGUGCAUCGGAAACUGGGAAACUUGAGUGCAGAAGAGGACAGUGGAACUCCAUGUGUAGCGGUGAAAUGCGUAGAUAUAUGGAAGAACACCAGUGGCGAAGGCGGCUGUCUGGUCUGUAACUGACGCUGAGGCUCGAAAGUAUGGGUAGCAAACAGGAUUAGAUACCCUGGUAGUCCAUACCGUAAACGAUGAAUGCUAAGUGUUGGAGGGUUUCCGCCCUUCAGUGCUGCAGCUAACGCAUUAAGCAUUCCGCCUGGGGAGUACGGCCGCAAGGCUGAAACUCAAAGGAAUUGACGGGGGCCCGCACAAGCGGUGGAGCAUGUGGUUUAAUUCGAAGCUACGCGAAGAACCUUACCAGGUCUUGACAUACUAUGCAAAUCUAAGAGAUUAGACGUUCCCUUCGGGGACAUGGAUACAGGUGGUGCAUGGUUGUCGUCAGCUCGUGUCGUGAGAUGUUGGGUUAAGUCCCGCAACGAGCGCAACCCUUAUUAUCAGUUGCCAGCAUUAAGUUGGGCACUCUGGUGAGACUGCCGGUGACAAACCGGAGGAAGGUGGGGAUGACGUCAAAUCAUCAUGCCCCUUAUGACCUGGGCUACACACGUGCUACAAUGGAUGGUACAACGAGUUGCGAACUCGCGAGAGUAAGCUAAUCUCUUAAAGCCAUUCUCAGUUCGGAUUGUAGGCUGCAACUCGCCUACAUGAAGUCGGAAUCGCUAGUAAUCGCGGAUCAGCAUGCCGCGGUGAAUACGUUCCCGGGCCUUGUACACACCGCCCGUCACACCAUGAGAGUUUGUAAC
RNAcentral lists this ribosomal RNA (1359 nucleotides) under Lactiplantibacillus plantarum. RNAcentral's name for it is "bacterial SSU rRNA". It matches the Rfam family "Bacterial small subunit ribosomal RNA", at positions 70 to 1418 of the family's 1533-position model. The record is from RNAcentral. Lineage: Bacteria; Bacillati; Bacillota; Bacilli; Lactobacillales; Lactobacillaceae.